AGAGUUUGAUUAUGGCUCAGAUUGAACGCUGGCGGCAGGCCUAACACAUGCAAGUCGAGGGGCAGCACAUGAAGUAGCAAUACGGAUGGUGGCGACCGGCGCACGGGUGAGUAACGCGUAUGCAACCUGCCUACAACAGGGGAAUAACCCGUUGAAAGACGGACUAAUACCCCAUAACACAGGGAUCCCGCAUGGGAAUAUUUGUUAAAGAUUUAUCGGUUGUAGAUGGGCAUGCGUUCCACUAGCUUGUUGGUGAGGUAACGGCUCACCAAGGCAACGAUGGAUAGGGGAACUGAGAGGUUUAUCCCCCACACUGGUACUGAGACACGGACCAGACUCCUACGGGAGGCAGCAGUGAGGAAUAUAGGUCAAUGGACGCAAGUCUGAACCAGCCACGUCGCGUGAAGGAAGACGGCCCUACGGGUUGUAAACUUCUUUUGUAAGGGAAUAAAGUGUAGUACGUGUACUAUUUUGCAUGUACCUUACGAAUAAGGAUCGGCUAACUCCGUGCCAGCAGCCGCGGUAAUACGGAGGAUCCGAGCGUUAUCCGGAUUUAUUGGGUUUAAAGGGUGCGCAGGCGGGAGAUUAAGUCGGCGGUGAAAUUUUGCAGCUCAACUGUAAAAGUGCCUUCGAAACUGGUUUUCUUGAGUGUGGAUGAAGUAGGCGGAAUUUGUGGUGUAGCGGUGAAAUGCAUAGAUAUCACGAGGAACUCCGAUUGCGCAGGCAGCUUACUAAACCAUAACUGACGCUCAGGCACGAAGGCGUGGGGAUCAAACAGGAUUAGAUACCCUGGUAGUC
RNAcentral lists this ribosomal RNA (798 nucleotides) under uncultured Porphyromonadaceae bacterium. RNAcentral describes it as "bacterial SSU rRNA". It matches the Rfam family "Bacterial small subunit ribosomal RNA", at positions 8 to 795 of the family's 1533-position model. Lineage: Bacteria; Pseudomonadati; Bacteroidota; Bacteroidia; Bacteroidales; Porphyromonadaceae. The record is from RNAcentral.